RNAcentral lists this ribosomal RNA (236 nucleotides) under uncultured bacterium. RNAcentral's name for it is "partial 16S ribosomal RNA". It matches the Rfam family "Bacterial small subunit ribosomal RNA", at positions 524 to 757 of the family's 1533-position model. The record is from RNAcentral.
UACGUAGGGUGCAAGCGUUAAUCGGAAUUACUGGGCGUAAAGCGUGCGCAGGCGGUGAUGUAAGACAGGUGUGAAAUCCCCGGGCUUAACCCUGGGAACUGCAUUUGUGACUGCAUCGCUGGAGUGCGGCAGAGGGGGAUGGAAUUCCGGCGUGUAGCAGUGAAAUGCGUAGAUAUGCGGAGGAACACCGAUGGCGAAGGCAAUCCCCUGGGCCUGCACUGACGCUCAUGCACGAA